This 27-nucleotide non-coding RNA is filed under the name Rattus norvegicus (Norway rat). The record is from RNAcentral. Lineage: Eukaryota; Metazoa; Chordata; Mammalia; Rodentia; Muridae.
UGUCGCUUAUUCCUUCUGUAGCACGCA